GUUCUGUGCGGCAUUCUGGGAAAGCUCCCGGAAGGGCGGGUGGCUGGCCUCGCGUGGGCCACCCGCUGUCCAUCGUGAAAGGGGACGCGAGGCCAGGAAGCUGCGCUGUGAGCACAGGGCACGCCUCACCGAGGGCGCCGAGAGAGGUGGAGGAGGAGGCCGGGCCCGCGGGCGUCUUGGAGCUGCUGGGCCUGCACCGGCCCGCCGGACACCUCGGUGGGUGAGAAGAAUAAACCCGACGCCCUUCCUGGAUUUUCCACGAUGCCGGGGGACAUGGAGCCAGACUAUUUUGAAGAGGAAGGUGACCUGUAAAGGCCAUGUCCUCUUUCUCAAUUUAAAUGACGUAAGUUUAAGCAUCCAAGUAUGUAUGUGGUGAUGUGAGUUCUCGCAGGUCCAACUCUUUCCUCCUGUAAUGCCUUCUCCAGAUGGGACUGGAACUGGGUGUAGUUAUGUCAGUAGCUUGCUGUGUUCACAUGGGCGGACAGGCGAGAGUGCACAUGCAUUUCUUUGGAGUGAAAUUGACAGCCACUUUGGAUGAGCAAUUGUGGCUUUUAAGUGUGUGUGUUUUGGUCAGGGAGGGAGGGCGAUUCUAAAAAGCAAAGACCGCUCCAGGGCAAAUCAGCUUCCAGCUUUCCAAAGGCAAGGGCUUUCGGCUUGUUGACUUCUUCUCUGUGAAUGUUUCUGGCAGAGAAUUCGGAGGUGAGGUUAGAAGUCACCCCAGUGGAUAGAUGGGGAGUCACAUCUGAGCAGAGCCAGGGUGAGGCUGGACUCUUGAAGUGGGUGUUGGGCUCUGUCACAGCUGGCUGGGUGAUCUGGAACCUAUUGCUUCUGCUCUCUGGCCUCAGUUUCCCCAAUGUGUAAAAUAGAAACAUGGGAUCUAUUGGUAUCUAAGGCUCCUUCUGAGUCAAAAGUGAUAAUAAGUUGUGAUGAGGCCUAGACUGAGGAUGGUAAAUGAGCACAGAGUGGAGAGGAGGCGGGAGGGAUGCCUUGAUGACGUGCCAUUGUCUGAAGUCUUGUCUUUACCACUUCAGUCCAGGACCAACUUCCAACCACCAGCCCCGUGUCUUUUUGCCUGGGGGGCUUUCUCUGGUCCCCGAAUCCCACUCUGACGCCCUGUGUGAAGAACUUACCUGUGUGGGCGCUAAUACGCCUGCCCUAGGAAAAGCAGGAGAUGAAAAUAAACAGCCAGGUCUCGGCAUUCUGGUGGACAGCUCUGUGACACGUGUGCUUCACGCCGCCUCCUGGUUUCCAUGUGGUCACUCUCAAGUCGCCCGCAGUGGUAACUGAGUUGAUGACCUUUACUGGAUGUCUUCCGCUCCCCAUCUCACCUCCCCACUGCCCUCAAGUGUCUCCUCCUCCUCCCAACUUAAUCGCAGGUGUUGAGUCUGUCAGUUCUGCCACCAGGGACCUGAAAAGGAAGACGAUAGCUGAGAAGGAGAGAAGGGCACUGGGGCAUUCUGGGGUGUCGUCCCACGGGGGCAUUCAUUUAUUGGGAGCUCUUUGAGCUGUACACUUAUAGUGUGUGUACUUUCCUCUAGGUAUGUUUUACAUUGUACCAUAAUAAAAAGUUGGUGUAUAUAAAGAAUAGGGCACAUUUUACCGAGAUACCAGAAUAUGCUGGAGGGAUGGGAGUGGCAGGAAUCACACUGGACACAACACACAGAGUACACAUACAAAGAAGUUAAUUUUGUCAAAUGAUGUGUGAAUGAGUGAACUAGAAAAUACAUAUAUUGUUGGGUAAAUGAAUGAACCAGAGGAUAAUAAAGAAAUGCGUGAAUGAGGCAAUGACAGGAUGAGCACAUUUGAGAAUGAGCGAGUGAAGGAACCAGUGAAAGAAGUUGUCCCCGGUGACGAGUGAGGAGCUAAGUGCCCACAUGGACAAUGGAGGGAGGAGUGAAUGGAUGAAAGGACCACAAUUCCAGGAAGUAGGAGCGAAUGGACCGAGGAGUGAGGCCUGGAAUAAACUUGACACGUGAAUGAAUAUGUGAAGGCAUGGAUGAAAGAAAGAAUAAAUGAAGGAAAAUACUGAAGACAUGAAUGAACGAAUGAGUAGAUAUAAAAGUGUAAGGAGCAAUGAGCAAAUGAACAAUUAUAUAAAUGCGGAAGUGGAUAUAUGGUUCCAUGUGUUCUCGCUGGAUCUUAGGGGGAGUAAUUUGCAGAGCAGAAAAUGCCCAACUCAGAGGCAAGUGUCUCCCCUCACAUCCCCGGGGCCAAGGUCUUGGCAAAUCACCACGGCCCGCCCAGAGCAGGUUCCUGAGGUGAUUCAGUUUGGAUUUAAUAAGAACAUUGUUAAGCAAAUAUCAAGGAUGCCACGGAGUGGCCACUCCCUUGGAUCGAUUCUGGGUUCAGUGGAAAGAACUAAAUAAUAACUGACUACAAUUAUGCACCACAUAACCAUGCUCAGUCAACCACAGACGGCGUAUACGACAGUGGCCCCACGAGGUUAGUGCCACACAGCCCAGGUGUGCAGGAGGCUCUAGGGUCUAGGUUUGUGUAAGUACACUCUAUGAUGUUCCCACAGCGACGAAAUCACCUAGUGACACAUUUCUCAGAACAAGUAUCCAUCGUUCAGCGAUGCAUGACUGUAUAUCGUUUUCACGAUUAGGUCGCAGAUAAUUACCUAUUAUGUAGCCAACUCCCAGCAAGAUUUUAAUAUUCAAUAUUUAAAUAACACAUUUUCACUGUCUCCUUCAAAUUAGCCUCCGGGAAGUGUAAUUAAUGUCAGCUGGGAAGGUUGGCUGUGUGGCCUGGGAAUGAGGAAGGGGGUCGGCGCUGUCGCUGUGAUCGUCCUAUGAGACCCCGAGGCCGGGUGGUGCUGUGCACAGAGCUCAGGUUUGGGAAAACCUCGGUCCAGGACGUCGGGCAGGUCAGUCCCCAUCUGGGCCUCCAUCACCUCCUCUAUGAAAUGAAGAUGAUUCUCCUAAUUCCCCGACUCCCAGGGUUAUCGGGGCGCUCAGUGUAGACCCAGGUCAGGGUCAGGGUCAGUCCACCAGUCCCCCGCUGUGCCCCACAGUGCAGGCACAUCCCUCAUCCCGGGGUAAGCAGGUCUUCUCUUGAUGCAUAUUUCUGCCCCACAGACUGAGGGCCGGGACCGAUCUUGUCCUCAGCGCGUGUUCAGCACCCAGGGCAGUGUCUGCACACAGUAGGCACUCGGUGAACGUUGGUGGAGGAAACGAAGGGAUCUCGUGUAGUGUGGGUUUUAGAAGCUGCCUAAGGUCCCUUUCAGAACAACGAGGUUUGAUAGGCAGAUGGCCACUUACCAGGGUCCUCAUGGAGCUUGUCAGGGUUGCCCACCUCUGAUGCUCUUCCAGCUGUCACUUGUUCCCUUAAGUCCAUCGGUGUCUGCCUGUCUCGGCCCCUCCCCCUUCCUGUGCGCCACCGCCAAUAUCUGGGGGCCUGAAAAGAAUGCAGACAAGCUGGUCGGAUUGUGCGUGAAGGAAGCAUCCACGGGCUCUGAUGAGGGGCCCAGGGGCUCUGCUCUGAGUGACAGUGCCCGCGGGAAUGACGUGUCCCCGGGUCUCCACAUGGACCUGACCUGGCUCAGCCUUGAUGAGAGAUCAGCACAUGGGUCUGAUGCCCACAGGGACAAGAGGGGCAGAGACCUCCUGAGUCCUGUGAGUGCCUGGAGGAGGCGGUGAGGGAGAUGCCGGGUCCCUGACAAAGGACUCUAUGCUGCCCCUGCCAUCUGUCGUGUAGAUUGAAUACCUGUGAUUCUGGAAUUUCUUCCUCUUCCAGGAGUCUGCUUUCCUAAAUAGUCCAGCUUCACUCAAACUGUCUUCCCUUCUCUGAGGCACUGGGAACCACACCUGAUGAGGUCCCACCUUUGAGUGUGAAGGACAGUCCAUGGUCCCCUUGUCUGUGUCAGACCCUCCUGACUGUCUGGGUGAUGGCCAACCCCCUCCCCCUGUCAGCCCCGAGAGGAUUGGCCGUGGUGGGGGCAGGAGAGGAGAGAGUAUCAUCCUAAGGGGCCUGCAGUGCAGGGAGAGGAGCGGACUCUGGCCAUGAGGAGCCACGAGCUGGUGCAGGGAGCACAGCAGCCGGGUCUGCACAGCCCAGCUCGGCACGCCCUCGUGUAGGGGUCAGGAGCCCCGAGGGGACCCCUGGUGGGCCCAGGGAAUCACGUGGCCACCAGUUACCUUGAGCUCUAUCACAUACAGGACCCUCCACCAGUUCAGGACCUGCCUGUCCCCAUCUCAGCCAAUGGUGCUGGGCAGAGACCAGGUGACUGUCCCGGCCAGUCACCUACAUGGGCUCUGCCCCCCGCAGCGGGCCCAGCCUCACAGGGCAGCCCAGCAGGUACCCUGGGAACCAGAUCCAAGAUCCCUGCUCACCUUCCCAAGAUGGCCAAGGCCAUCUCCAGGCCACCUCUGGUGGGGACGCCACAGACAGCCAGGCCCCUCUUAUAUUUGCUACAUUCUUCAAGUGUCCUUGAUCAUCGCACAUUGCCCUUAGAGACAGAGGAAGAAAUUAUAAAAAUUAAAGAAGAAAUAGGCAGCAGUGGCUCCUAGGAAAUGAAAUCGUUUCCUUCUACACAGUUAAACACGAGCGUUUGAAAUGUCCUUGUCACACCUUGCACUGGCUCUGUCAGGGUGGAUUAUUGGAUUAUAAAAGGACUGGAGGUUUCUGGGCAUUCAAGGAGCAAAGAACCAGCUUCCGAGUCAGACAGACCUGGACCGUCUCAGCUCAGCCACGUCCUUGUGUGGGUGUCGCUUCAGCUUCCAGACCCUCAUCUGCUCACUUUUAAAGUGGGAGGUGACCCUCUCUCACAGGUAAAAGUGAAAGAAUGGGGGUGAGACAGCUCCGCACCUGGGACACUGCAAACAUCCAAAAUGAGGUUGCUGCCGUAUCAUCUAGGUGAGGAGUGAUGACAGAACAGUGGGUGUCUUAGGAGACACUUCCUGCCCCUUCGUCCCUCUGGAAAUUUCCUUGCUGGGCCGCUUGAGCCUCUUUGAUCAUCUCUUGUUCUUCUGAUAAAAUAAAGCUUGACUGCAGAAAGCUUUGUCAUCAAAGCUUCGUCGUCACUGUCACGUCCACAGACUCCACCUCUUACACGAGCUGCCCGGGAGCAAAGAGGCGAACGGCAGCCGCUCCCCCUGCCUGCGUCGCCGUGCACUGAGGACGGGAUGGGGAGUCUCACCGAGUCCCCAGGUCAACUGCAGGGGUCGCCAUCCUCCCACUGUGCAGGUGAGAAGCCUGAGGCUCAGAGCAGUGACGUCACAUCCACAACACAACAACAGAUGUUACUGCACCUGCCGUGAGACCCAGCGGGGAACAAGUCCCCGCGCCCGUGGGGCUGGCACAGAGGAUAAGGGAUGAAGACGUGACACUUGUGAAGGAGAAAAACAGAGCUGGCAGUCAGGUGGCCCCUUUGUCCCCACGGAAGGCUUGCCUGUGUCCUGCCGCCACAAGGCUUCUCAGAGCUGCUUUCUGCUGGGGAGGCCCUGGGCGUGGGAAGGGUGCCAGGGUUCACGUGCUUCGUCUCUGCCCAGCCUCACGACCGCCCUGUGUGCCCACAAUGCACAGACGAAGAAACUGAGGCUCAGAGAGGUGACAUCACCUGCUCAAAGUCAUGGAGUCAGUAAGUGGUCAGGGUGGCUUCAGGGUCAGAGGACUCGAGUUUGUGUCCAGGCUCGGCCAUUCAAGGGCUGUGUGACCUCAGCAAGCCUCUCACCGCUAAGCCUGUUUCCUCAUCAGCAACAUGACGAUGACAGCAGGACCUGCGUCAUGGGGCUGUUGUGAUGGGAAAUGAGCUGGUGCUCGGGAUGCAGAGGACAGUGCCUGGCACAGAGCGACGGUGAUGAUGAUGAUGAUAGUGACGCCCUCUCCGAUGGUGCUGACUCCGUUUACCCUUCAGGGCGGCCCUCAAAUGGAACGUGGUGUGACCUUUAACGAAGCCAGCUGGCGUCUCCAGCGGGCAGAUAAGAAAACUGAGACUCAAAGGCGGGGAGUCGUUCGCUAAAGCCACAAGAUGCUGAAAGCAGAGCCGAUUCUUUCAUCUUAUUGUGCUUUCCAUCCAUCCUGGUUUUCCCCUUUGCUUCUUUCUUCACUUUCCUUUUGACUCAUUUUCUUCUGUCCAUUACAUUGAUCAAAUAUUCUUCAUUACCUUUCUGCUUCCGUUGGUUUCAAAAGUCUGCAUCCCAUUUCUGUCCGUUUAUUAGUUACCUUAAAAAUGGAGGAAGUGUGCUUAUUUGGACUAACACAGCUUAAAGCUCGUCAGCCUCUCUGCCCUCCCUGUGAAUGGCACCAGGACUCCAAACGCCUUGACUCCAGUCUCCCAUCUUCAUGUCGGCUUCAGCUAGUGUUACGAUUCUGUCUCCUUUUUCCACCUCUCCCAACUUAGUUCUCACUAUUACUGUUGUUGGUUUCCCUCUUGUUUCUUGUAGACAACGAGUAGAUUUACCCCAUGUUCAUGGAUAAUUCUGCAUGCUUUUCCUACUUUCAUGCUAUUCCUUCCUUG
This 6457-nucleotide long non-coding RNA is filed under the name Equus caballus (horse). RNAcentral's name for it is "lncRNA (ENSECAG00000036712.2)". The record is from RNAcentral. Lineage: Eukaryota; Metazoa; Chordata; Mammalia; Perissodactyla; Equidae.